GGCUAACGCUGGCGGCGUGUCUUAGCCAUGCAAGUCGAGCGGACUUAUGGGGUAACUUAUAAGUCAGCGGCGGACGGCGGAGUAACACGUAGCUAACCUACCCUCUGGACGGGGAUAACCUACCGAAAGGUGGGCUAAUACCCGAUGUAGUCAUCCUGUAUAGGGGUGAUGAAAGGUGGGCUUCUGUUUACAAGCUCAUGCUGGAGGAGGGGGCUGCGGCCUAUCAGGUAGUUGGUAGGGUAAUAGCCUACCAAGCCGACGACGGGUAGCCGGUCUGAGAGGAUGGCCGGCCACAAGGGCACUGAGAGACGGGCCCUACUCCUACGGGAGGCAGCAGUGGGGGAUUUUGGACAAUGGGCGAAAGCCUGAUCCAGCGACGCCGCGUGGAGGACGAAGCCCUUCGGGGUGUAAACUCCUUUUCUCAGGGAAAAAGGAUGAUGGUACCUGAGGAAUAAGCCCCGGCUAACUACGUG
RNAcentral lists this ribosomal RNA (473 nucleotides) under uncultured bacterium. RNAcentral's name for it is "bacterial SSU rRNA". It matches the Rfam family "Bacterial small subunit ribosomal RNA", at positions 28 to 507 of the family's 1533-position model. The record is from RNAcentral.